UACGGGGGGAGCAAGCGUUGUUCGGAUUUACUGGGCGUAAAGGGCGCGUAGGCGGCGCAACAAGUCACUUGUGAAAUCUCCGGGCUUAACUCGGAAAGGUCAAGUGAUACUGUUGUGCUAGAGUGCGGAAGGGGCAACUGGAAUUCUCGGUGUAGCGGUGAAAUGCGUAGAUAUCUGGAGGAACACCGGUGGCGAAGGCGGCAUCCUGGACCAACACUGACGCUGAGGAGCGAAAGCCAGGGGAGCAAACGGG
Molecule: ribosomal RNA, 253 nt
Filed under: uncultured bacterium
Lineage: Bacteria
Description: partial 16S ribosomal RNA
Rfam family: Bacterial small subunit ribosomal RNA
Source: RNAcentral